Molecule: ribosomal RNA, 254 nt
Filed under: uncultured bacterium
Lineage: Bacteria
Description: partial 16S ribosomal RNA
Rfam family: Bacterial small subunit ribosomal RNA
Source: RNAcentral
UACGGGGGGAGCAAGCGUUGUUCGGAUUUACUGGGCGUAAAGGGCGCGUAGGCGGCCUCUGCAAGUCGACUGUGAAAUCUCCGGGCUUAACCCGGAAAGGUCAGCCGAUACUGCAGGGCUAGAGUGCAGAAGGGGCAACUGGAAUUCUCGGUGUAGCGGUGAAAUGCGUAGAUAUCGAGAGGAACACCUGCGGCGAAGGCGGGUUGUUGGGCUGACACUGACGCUGAGGCGCGAAAGCUAGGGGAGCGAACGGG